Magnolia sinica is the source of this 841-nucleotide long non-coding RNA. RefSeq lists it as uncharacterized. The record is from RefSeq and is a predicted model, not a curated record. Lineage: Eukaryota; Viridiplantae; Streptophyta; Magnoliopsida; Magnoliales; Magnoliaceae. The transcript is spliced from 2 exons.
AUCUACUCCCUGGAGAGGUUGGAAAUCAAAUGACGCAGGAAAUGAGAGGGUUCAAGAUGCUAAAUCCCAAGAUGUAAAUUGUUGGAACCAACUAAAUGAUUCAUCUGCCAAACCACAUGUUUGGGAUAAGGACAAGAUGCAUGGUCAAUCUAAUUCUGUCUGGGGUAGUCAGAACCUAAAGGGUACCCAUACAGAGAGAUCUUCAGAUAUUGGUGGUUGGAAUGAAGACAGAGGACAAGAUGAGUUGAAUCAACCAACAAGAUCUCCUGUUUGGAGUUCUUCCCCUAUUGAGAAGUCUUCAGAUGAUAGGAGUUGGAAAGAAAAUAGAGCACAAGCUUGAUUUCUAUCGACUGACCAGAGCUCCUGGAUGGGGUUCUUUGAGUAGAUCCAUUACACUCAAUAGCAGAAGAGAUGUAGAUUCAUUACACUCAAUUCAGGAUGUUGUUUGAAUUACUUGUCCUAAUAGGUGCACAAGUUGGGAUGGAUUGGACUUCUAUCUUUAAAAAAUGCCAUGAUUUCAGGAAGUUAUUAUUGUAAUGGAAAGUUAAAAAAUUAAAAGAGAGAGAGAGAGAGAGAGAUAAUGAACUCAUGGAAAGAAAUGUUCUUUAUCAUUAGGGCUGCUUUCACCGUGUUUGAUGCAGAAAUUGUCACCAACUUCACAGAAAGACAAAUAACAUCAGUGGCCACAGAUUGCAACCUGGAUUUAAACAAGGUUCGAAGUGCCAUCAACAAUACUAACAGAAUCCUCUAGGUCAGAUUGUUGAUUGGACCUGAUUUUAUUUAAAUGAUCUUGAUAAUCCAUUUUAUUUAAAUGAGUAGACCCAGAUGUGCGUCGGAGCUA